UACUGAGAGCAGAUUCACGUGCUGGGUGUCAGCGAAUGGGAGCCCAGCUGGCUGAGCGCAAAGCUUUUUUCUUCUUCCGGGGUUUUCAGUGGUUAGUGAGACGUUGUUUGUGAGGGAAGGUUUCUUUACUGAUGCACACGGGGAAUUCUCCCAGACCACUUUCAACUCUUUGUGAAGCAAAACUGUUGGAGUGGAUGUUUUCGUUCAUCGCGGAACAUCGAUAAAUGCUUCCGUGAGCCUUAGAAGGGAAAAAAAAUUUCAAGGGAGAGCUGAAGUGCAGUUGUGGUGAGCCGAGCUAAAGUUCAAAUGGUCCUGGAGAGUCCGAAUUGUUGCUUCCGCCGUCCUGGUUGGACCUGCCUUUGGCUAGUAUACCGAGCGAUUUUCCCCCCUUUGCACUUUUCCUGCAUUUUUUUUCUUACAAAUUCUCAGUGCACCGACAAAGGACAUUGAAGGAGAGACUGUAUAUAUUUAAUAUUUAUGUUUGGUAAUUGUUCUUUAUUCAGUGGUUCAGUGUUUGUUUUGAACUGAGCUCAUUUAAGAGGUAAUUUAGUAUAUUCAUUCAGGUCAAAGGGGAACAUCCAUAUUUUUUUU
Brienomyrus brachyistius is the source of this 591-nucleotide long non-coding RNA. RefSeq lists it as uncharacterized. Lineage: Eukaryota; Metazoa; Chordata; Actinopteri; Osteoglossiformes; Mormyridae. The transcript is spliced from 2 exons. The record is from RefSeq and is a predicted model, not a curated record.